Molecule: ribosomal RNA, 500 nt
Filed under: Pseudoalteromonas sp. ZXM045
Lineage: Bacteria; Pseudomonadati; Pseudomonadota; Gammaproteobacteria; Alteromonadales; Pseudoalteromonadaceae
Description: bacterial SSU rRNA
Rfam family: Bacterial small subunit ribosomal RNA
Source: RNAcentral
UUGCUACUUUGCUGACGAGCGGCGGACGGGUGAGUAAUGCUUGGGAACAUGCCUUGAGGUGGGGGACAACAGUUGGAAACGACUGCUAAUACCGCAUAAUGUCUACGGACCAAAGGGGGCUUCGGCUCUCGCCUUUAGAUUGGCCCAAGUGGGAUUAGCUAGUUGGUGAGGUAAUGGCUCACCAAGGCAACGAUCCCUAGCUGGUUUGAGAGGAUGAUCAGCCACACUGGAACUGAGACACGGUCCAGACUCCUACGGGAGGCAGCAGUGGGGAAUAUUGCACAAUGGGCGAAAGCCUGAUGCAGCCAUGCCGCGUGUGUGAAGAAGGCCUUCGGGUUGUAAAGCACUUUCAGUCAGGAGGAAAGGGUGUGAGUUAAUACCUCACAUCUGUGACGUUACUGACAGAAGAAGCACCGGCUAACUCCGUGCCAGCAGCCGCGGUAAUACGGAGGGUGCGAGCGUUAAUCGGAAUUACUGGGCGUAAAGCGUACGCAGGCGGU